GUCUAUGGCCAUACAACCCUGAACGCGUCCAGUCUUGUUGGAUCUCAGAAGCUAAGCAGGGUUGGGCCUGGUUAGUACUUGGAUGGGAGAAUGUUUUUGGAUUCUUGAUCUUCUGGGAUCCAAGAUAAUAUAAAAU
Molecule: ribosomal RNA, 136 nt
Filed under: Castor canadensis (American beaver)
Lineage: Eukaryota; Metazoa; Chordata; Mammalia; Rodentia; Castoridae
Source: RNAcentral